AUACAGAGGGUGCGAGCGUUAAUCGGAAUUACUGGGCGUAAAGCGCGCGUAGGCGGCUUAUUAAGUCAGAUGUGAAAUCCCCGGGCUCAACCUGGGAACUGCAUCUGAUACUGGUAAGCUAGAGUCUUGGAGAGGGAAGUAGAAUUUCAGGUGUAGCGGUGAAAUGCACAGAGAUCUGAAGGAAUACCAGUGGCGAAGGCGACUUCCUGGCCAAAAACUGACGCUGAGGUGCGAAAGCGUGGGUAGCAAACGGGAUUAGAAACCCUAGUAGUCC
Molecule: ribosomal RNA, 274 nt
Filed under: uncultured bacterium
Lineage: Bacteria
Description: partial 16S ribosomal RNA
Rfam family: Bacterial small subunit ribosomal RNA
Source: RNAcentral